Molecule: ribosomal RNA, 396 nt
Filed under: Triticum aestivum (bread wheat)
Lineage: Eukaryota; Viridiplantae; Streptophyta; Magnoliopsida; Poales; Poaceae
Description: partial small subunit ribosomal RNA
Source: RNAcentral
AUGGCAACGCCGCUGCCGCCGCCGCUGCCAGCGUUCGUGUACCGGAUCAGCACGGGGGAUGAGUGGGCGGAGCUCCAGCGCACCGGCGGCACCCUCGGCGGCGACCUCGACCGCUCCACCGGCUGCUUCCACCUCAGCGACCUCGCCCAGGUGAAGAUGACGCUAAAGAAUUAUUUCCGUGGGCAAAAUGAUCUAUACCUGCUACAAAUUGACACUGCCAAGAUUGCAGAUGGCUUAAUUUAUGAGGCAGCUGAUGGCUGUAACUACUUUCCUCAUUUCUAUGGCCCUGAUCGGAGCUUUGCACCCCUUCAACUAAGUGCUGUUGUCAAGGCAGACAAAAUAGAGCUGGCGAACAAUGAUUUUACUUGCAGUCUACUUGAUGGAGCGGCCAUCUAA